ACUCAGUCGUUUUCAACCGACCCGGACCCACGCACAGGCUUUCAUGGUUUGCGCGCGCGAAGCACAAAGGCAAUGGAACUAUUCCAUAUAUCAAUUGGUUCAUGUUUAACAUCAAUUCAGUGUUAAAAUCAGAAUCAAUGGAGAAAUUUUCCCUCAAUUUACCGUUUACUGGAAUUCCCCGUGAGAUUCUGAGCCCCCACUUGUUCUAUAAUCUUCUAGAUAGAAUCACUCUCAAAACAAAGCAUGAAUUUGCCAAAUCAGUAGACGUUUGCUCGAUCUAUUUUGAUUCGCAACCCCUAACAACUUUUCCUAGCAUGUGUGGCAUUUCUAUUUGAAUGAGAUGUUGAGAGCUGAUUCUCCAUGAUGAACGGUCCAAUUCAAAUCUACCGGUGCGAUGUAUGUAUAAUGUAUAUGCUUUUUUGAAUCAGCCACCUCAAAGAAUUGAUUGUUUUCUUCUUUAAAAAAAUAGGGGUCAAUCUAGGCAAAGAUACAGCCAGUGUCAAUGGAUCACCGCGGUCUAUCAUCAGACGAUGAAAAUGACGGUAUUGUACAUGUGGUUGUCUCUUUCUACUGUUUGGAAAUUGCAAAAAGUGUGUGCUGAAUGGUGGGCACUGCACUACUGCAUCAAGUAGAAAAUGACAAGGAUUUGUUAUAUUCAAGAAUCCACUCAUAGAUAGAGUGGCCCUUCUCCAAAUAUUUUACUCAAUUUGUCAGAGAGUUAGUUUGAUCUAAGCAUGUAUUAGUCUGUUAAAAUUGGUUAUCUGUCUUGAUCUCUGACCCCUCCUUUUCCAUAACACCAAGCUUCGUUGUUGUCGAAUUCUGAUUUGUUCUUCGUGUUUGUCCUGUUGUGAAAUUAGGUUCCUGAGAAUUCAUUCAUGAUGCAAGUGGUGCAUGUUAGUUUUCUGGUCUUCUCUAAAUAAGUGAUGCUUGAUGAGGCAUUAUUGUUUGAUUUUUCUUCAAGAUUCAUGCUAUAUUUUUUUUGAAUACACAGUGUAGGAUAUAUGGGACAGUCUUUUAGUGAAUACUCAUCUUCCUUGGGCUGCAAAUGUUAUCAUAUGGGGAGGGUUGUGUCCUUAUACUGCUGAGGAGAUUUAAUCAGAAGACUCACUGUGAUUAACUGAAAUUAUAACUGACAUAGAGGAAAAGAAAAAGAGUGGACUGGAAUUGAUUAGACAUUUAUACCUUUGCUGGGGUUCACUAUCUCGCGCAUCUUGGAUUAUUCAGUUUCCCAAGAGGUGCUUUCUUUUUGUGGAUAAUGUAUUUUGCAGGAAGUUGUAAAUCUAAAGCAAUUAGAGGAUUCAUAUGCCCCACAUAGAUCCACAUUCUGUUGGCAAAUGCUGGUUGGUAUGAGAGAGAGAGAGAGAGAUCACCUUUAGAGUGAUGGGGUGUGAUACCCGUUGAAGAAAGGGCUGCGAAGAGAAAGAUGGAUAAAUUGUA
Molecule: RNA transcript, 1437 nt
Organism: Salvia splendens (bonfire salvia)
Lineage: Eukaryota; Viridiplantae; Streptophyta; Magnoliopsida; Lamiales; Lamiaceae
Exons: 3
Source: RefSeq, a predicted model, not a curated record